Long non-coding RNA from Daktulosphaira vitifoliae (grape phylloxera), 490 nucleotides. RefSeq lists it as uncharacterized. The transcript is spliced from 2 exons. The record is from RefSeq and is a predicted model, not a curated record. NCBI's taxonomy places the organism in Eukaryota, Metazoa, Arthropoda, Insecta, Hemiptera, Phylloxeridae.
UUAAGAUACAACCGAUUGAGUAGGUAAUUGAUUUGACGCUAUAUUGCUUAAACCCAACCAAACACUAAAUUGUACAUUUCCAAACAAAAAUUUUAUUAUAUCGAUUGCCACCAGGAAAAGUCAGAAUCAAUUCUACGAUCCGCUAGCGAUGUCAAAUUGAGUUUGCUUGCAAUGGCAGUAUAAUCAUGAGGAACAUGUUGAAUAUUCGAUAUAAAUCCAGCAUACGGUAAAAAUGUCUGUUGCACUCUUUCAAUUUGAAAAAGAUAAAGAAUGAGCUCUCCGAACAAUAGCACCAUAUUCAAGAAUUGGCAGGACCAAUGAAGAAUAUAAAAUUUUCAAAGAAAAAUUAAGUUUUAAAUUAGAAGGUAGUCUAAAAUUCGAGUACCUUAAACGCUUUACACACUAUUUUGAUGUGUCUAAUGUGCUAUUAAAUUUAAAACCAAGAUCUAAUACAAAAUCGUAAUAAAAUAUUUAAAUACAUUAGAGAUAA